This is a long non-coding RNA of Oryzias melastigma (Indian medaka), 818 nucleotides long. RefSeq lists it as uncharacterized. Lineage: Eukaryota; Metazoa; Chordata; Actinopteri; Beloniformes; Adrianichthyidae. The transcript has 2 exons. The record is from RefSeq and is a predicted model, not a curated record.
UUCUUCCAGUGAAAGGGAAAAGAAGUCAGAUGAUGUUGCCUAAAGCAACUGAGAAAAAUCAUUAAGGGAAUUCAUUUCCCCAUGAGGGAAAACAGCUUCCAGCUUGCCUCUUUGAUCCGACAUCACACAGAGGAAGGUGAUAGAUAUCCCAUGCAAGGGUAAACACUGCACCGUCACUCUGGUGGCCACAAAGGGCUUCUGGUCACGGAUGGAACAGCAGCUAAACAACAUCACAAAGGUGUGUUCUCUCUGAUCAAUGGUUAUGGUUGCAACACCAAUUGAUUCACCUGCACAGAGGAACAGAAAGUAGCACUUUUCUUGCUCUCAUUGUGUGUGUUGGGGAGGGAAGUGAACAUAUUUCAAAUAAUACCUGGGAGCUUUCCUCUCAUUAGUACAUCUUCAGCUGUGGCUUCAUUUUUAACUCUGGUUUGUGGCUUGUGGGAAAAGUGGUAGAUUUGAAAAAUUGUCGUGUGCACGCACAUAUAUUUGUAUGUACUCAUGUAUGCAGAUGUGCGAACGCAGUCCCAGUGCAGAAACUGAUGUGACAAGGUGGGGGCUUGGCCUAGAAGAGAAUGAGUGAGCACAGCAGGGGCACGGCGAGGAGCAAGGACGGUAAUAAAUCAGGACCAAACCGCAUGACAUUACAAAAUCCUCCUCUUCCAGAAAUACUGUUUUUAGGCGGUAAGCCAAGACAAUGCGUAUGGGAUAAACACUCAUUUUUAUUUCUAAUGAAACGACUUUUUUAAUGUGUGGAAUUAAUAUGCCUUGUCUGGCGCUGGAUAAUUCAAUAUCACAAACAAAUGAAUUGGAAAAAAAAA